Molecule: ribosomal RNA, 411 nt
Filed under: uncultured microorganism
Description: bacterial SSU rRNA
Rfam family: Archaeal small subunit ribosomal RNA
Source: RNAcentral
GUGCAGCAGUCGAGAAACCUUUACAAUGUGCGAAAGCACGAUAAGGGAACUCUGAGUGCCUCCUAAGGAGGCUGUUCAGGUGUCUAAAAGCACCUGAAGGAAGGGCUGGGUAAGACCGGUGCCAGCCGCCGCGGUAACACCGGCAGCCCAAGUGGUAGCCACGUUUAUUGGGUCUAAAGCGUCCGUAGCCGGCUGGGUAAGAUCCUUGGGAAAUUUGGCUGCUUAACAGUCAAGCUUUCAGGGAAUACUGCCCGGCUUGGGGACCGGGAGAGGUCAGAGGUACUCCAGGGGUAGGGGUGAAAUCCAUUAAAUCCUUGGGGGACCACCGGUAGCGAAGGCGUCUGACCAGACCGGGUCCGACGGUGAGGGACGAAGGCUAGGGGCGCGAACCGGAUUAGAUACCCCCGUAGU